This 497-nucleotide ribosomal RNA is filed under the name uncultured bacterium. Its description in RNAcentral is "partial 16S ribosomal RNA". It matches the Rfam family "Bacterial small subunit ribosomal RNA", at positions 28 to 507 of the family's 1533-position model. The record is from RNAcentral.
GAUGAACGCUGGCGGCGUGCCUAAUACAUGCAAGUCGAGCGAACAGAUGAGGAUCUUGCUCCUCGGACGUUAGCGGCGGACGUGUGAGUAACACGUGGAUAACCUACCUAUAAGACGGGUAUCACUUCGGGAAACCGGAGCUAAUACCAGAUAAGAUAUUGAACCGCAUGGUUCAAUAGUGAAAGACGGUGUUGCUGUCACUUAUAGAUGGAUCCGCGCCGCAUUAGCUAGUUGGUAAGGUAACGGCUUACCAAGGCAACGAUGCGUAGCCGACCUGAGAGGGUGAUCGGCCACCCUGGAACGGAGACACGGUCCAGAGUCCUACGGGAGGCAGCAGUAGGGAAUCUUCCGCAAUGGGCGAAAGCCUGACGGAGCAACGCCGCGUGAGUGAUGAAGGUCUCGGGAUCGUAAAGCUCUGUUAUUAGGGAAGAACAAAUGUGUAAGUAACUAUGCACGUCUUGACGGUAACUAAUCAGAAAGCCACGGCUAACUACGUG